AUUAUUUUGCCAGCUACUACGUUGGUACCUACCACAAUGUGAACAUUGUGAAGUGCGAACUACAGUCAUUUUGUCGUAAAAAUAAUACAGUGCCGUACGUUCGUCAGUUUAGGUACAAAGCGUUUGAUUAUACCUUUUUACUUAUCACGUAGGUACCUAUCACAGAAGAAUAGUGUUCCUUUAUUAUUAUCGUGCGUUUAACAAUAACGGAGUAAACUAAAUUAAGCACCUCGAUACUAUGUUGUUAUAUGAAUAUGUCAUAAACUCAACAAUUAAAGGCAUAUCUCGUGAAAAUAGGUGUACGAGGGGCGACAACAACGACUAAAAAGCGGCCACAGAAAUACACUUUCACGGUUCAUGAGAUACAGCCUGGUGACAGACCGACGGACGGACGUGCCGACAGCGGAGCCUUAGGGUCUUGUUUCGUACGGAACCCUAAAAAGGUCAGGUUACAGGUAGCUAAAAAAAACACCGGCCACCAAGCCUUUUAGAUAAAAAAUGCUAAUUAUGAAGAACUGUAUUGAUAAAGAUGAUUUUGUCAUAGAUGCUACUGUAUCAGAAAUUAACGAAAACAUUUGUCCACAUUUAUACAAGACAUAAGCUUUUACAAGUAGCACUUACAAUUCCAAUUUACGGUUUGAAUUGAUAUUGGACCUUUUGUAUAACCAGACCACACAAUAGGUUAUUAAUUAUUAUGUGAUCGCCUAUCAGACAUCGGCUUUGAUCACAAUCUACUUUGGGACGACUGUACCUGCACGAACACUCAAUACCAAAACGUCCUAACUUCGAUCCACUGUGUCAUAAUAAGUGGAGUUAGGUGGAAUUCUAAGAAAUAUCUUUUUUAAAUACGUUAUUCUUGUCGUAUGCGGUUUAUCACUUGUUUUCACUUGGCAUAAUAUAUGCUUUCUACCACAGUUUAACUAGAAUAUCAUACGUAUAUUAUUAUAAUUAUAUUGAUAUAUUUUAAUUCAUUUUGAUUUUAUACAUAAAUAUCUUAGUAAUAUUUUAUUAUUUUAUUCACUUGAAUAUAUCUUAAUAACCCGUGGUGUUAUGCGAUGAAUAUUUUGAUUGUACAAGUUCAAAACUUAUAAUAUUCAACCUAAAAACUUACUCACGAAGUACUAUUUUGCAAGGCUCUUACGAAAUACAUUUACUAAUUCCUAAAU
This is a long non-coding RNA of Acyrthosiphon pisum (pea aphid), 1166 nucleotides long. RefSeq lists it as uncharacterized. Lineage: Eukaryota; Metazoa; Arthropoda; Insecta; Hemiptera; Aphididae. The transcript has 4 exons. The record is from RefSeq and is a predicted model, not a curated record.